This 440-nucleotide ribosomal RNA is filed under the name uncultured Clostridium sp. RNAcentral's name for it is "bacterial SSU rRNA". It matches the Rfam family "Bacterial small subunit ribosomal RNA", at positions 338 to 795 of the family's 1533-position model. Lineage: Bacteria; Bacillati; Bacillota; Clostridia; Eubacteriales; Clostridiaceae. The record is from RNAcentral.
CCUACGGGAGGCUGCAGUGGGGAAUAUUGCACAAUGGGGGAAACCCUGAUGCAGCAACGCCGCGUGAGUGAUGACGGCCUUCGGGUUGUAAAGCUCUGUCUUCAGGGACGAUAAUGACGGUACCUGAGGAGGAAGCCACGGCUAACUACGUGCCAGCAGCCGCGGUAAUACGUAGGUGGCGAGCGUUGUCCGGAUUUACUGGGCGUAAAGGGAGCGUAGGCGGAUUUUUAAGUGAGAUGUGAAAUACUCGGGCUUAACCUGAGUGCUGCAUUUCAAACUGGAAGUCUAGAGUGCAGGAGAGGAGAAGGGAAUUCCUAGUGUAGCGGUGAAAUGCGUAGAGAUUAGGAAGAACACCAGUGGCGAAGGCGCUUCUCUGGACUGUAACUGACGCUGAGGCUCGAAAGCGUGGGGAGCAAACAGGAUUAGAUACCCCGGUAGUC